AGGGGAUGGAGGUACAGAGUAUCGUAAACCUCUUUUGUCAGGGAACAAAGGGCGCCACGUGUGGCGCUAUGAGGGUACCUGAAAGAAAAAGCAUCGGCUAACUCCGUGCC
Molecule: ribosomal RNA, 110 nt
Filed under: uncultured bacterium
Lineage: Bacteria
Description: partial 16S ribosomal RNA
Source: RNAcentral